CCUACACGACCGUACCGCAAACCGACACUGGUGCGCGAGAUGAGUAUUCUAAGGCGCUUGAGAGAACUCAGGAGAAGGAACUCGGCAAAUUGACACCGUAACUUCGGAAGAAGGUGUGCCUUUAGUAGGUGAACCAUUUACUUGGGGAGCCCAAUGAGGCUGCAAAAAAUCGGUGGCUGCAACUGUUUAUUAAAAACACAGCACUCUGCUAAGACGAAAGUCGACGUAUAGGGUGUGACGCCUGCCCGGUGCUGGAAGAUUAAAUGAUGGGGUGCAAGCUCUUGAUUGAAGUCCCAGUAAACGGCGGCCGUAACUAUAACGGUCCUAAGGUAGCGAAAUUCCUUGUCGGGUAAGUUCCGACCUGCACGAAUGGCGUAAUGAUGGCCACACUGUCUCCUCCUGAGACUCAGCGAAGUUGAAAUGUUUGUGAUGAUGCAAUCUCCCCGCGGAAAGACGGAAAGACCCCAUGAACCUUUACUGUAGCUUUGUAUUGGACUUUGAACAGAUCUGUGUAGGAUAGGUGGGAGGCUUUGAAGUGUGGUCGCUAGAUCGCAUGGAGCCAACGUUGAAAUACCACCCUGGUGUGUUUGAGGUUCUAACCUAGGUCCAUUAUCUGGAUCGGGGACAGUGCAUGGUAGGCAGUUUGACUGGGGCGGUCUCCUCCCAAAGUGUAACGGAGGAGUUCGAAGGUACGCUAGGUACGGUCGGACAUCGUGCUAAUAGUGCAAUGGCAUAAGCGUGCUUAACUGCGAGACUGACAAGUCGAGCAGAUGCGAAAGCAGGACAUAGUGAUCCGGUGGUUCUGUAUGGAAGGGCCAUCGCUCAACGGAUAAAAGGUACUCUGGGGAUAACAGGCUGAUACCGCCCAAGAGUUCAUAUCGACGGCGGUGUUUGGCACCUCGAUGUCGGCUCAUCUCAUCCUGGGGCUGUAGUCGGUCCCAAGGGUAUGGCUGUUCGCCAUUUAAAGAGGUACGUGAGCUGGGUUUAAAACGUCGUGAGACAGUUUGGUCCCUAUCUUCCGUGGGCGCUGCAGAUUUGAGGAAGCCUGCUCCUAGUACGAGAGGACCGGAGUGGACGAACCUCUGGUGUAUCGGUUGUCACGCCAGUGGCAUUGCCGAGUAGCUAAGUUCGGAAGAGAUAACCGCUGAAAGCAUCUAAGCGGGAAACUCGUUUCAAGAUUAGAUCUGCCGGGGCCUUGAGCCCCCUAAAGAGUCGUUCAAGACCAGGACGUUGAUAGGUCAGGUGUGGAAGUG
RNAcentral lists this ribosomal RNA (1253 nucleotides) under metagenome. RNAcentral describes it as "bacterial LSU rRNA". It matches the Rfam family "Bacterial large subunit ribosomal RNA", at positions 1633 to 2875 of the family's 2925-position model. The record is from RNAcentral.